UGGGGAAUAUUGGACAAUGGGCGAAAGCCUGAUCCAGCAAUGCCGCGUGAGUGAAGAAGGCCUUCGGGUUGUAAAGCUCUUUUACCCGGGAAGAUAAUGACUGUACCGGGAGAAUAAGCCCCGGCUAACUCCGUGCCAGCAGCCGCGGUAAUACGGAGGGGGCUAGCGUUGUUCGGAAUUACUGGGCGUAAAGCGUACGUAGGCGGCUAUUUAAGUCAGAGGUGAAAGCCCGGGGCUCAACUCCGGAAUUGCCUUUGAAACUGGGUAGCUUGAACAUGGGAGAGGUAAGUGGAAUUCCGAGUGUAGAGGUGAAAUUCGUAGAUAUUCGGAGGAACACCAGUGGCGAAGGCGGCUUACUGGACCAUUGUUGACGCUGAGGUACGAAAGCGUGGGGAGCAAACAGG
Molecule: ribosomal RNA, 404 nt
Filed under: uncultured prokaryote
Also listed under: 1 other name
Description: bacterial SSU rRNA
Rfam family: Bacterial small subunit ribosomal RNA
Source: RNAcentral